Molecule: RNA transcript, 4799 nt
Organism: Balaenoptera acutorostrata (minke whale)
Lineage: Eukaryota; Metazoa; Chordata; Mammalia; Artiodactyla; Balaenopteridae
Gene: CARD11
Gene name: caspase recruitment domain family member 11
Exons: 26
Source: RefSeq, a predicted model, not a curated record
CCCUCCCCCUUCCAGCCUGUGACACACUUUCUCUCCUUUUUUCUCUCUUUUGCCUCCUUUGGCCUCCGGACUGCUGCCCCGGUGGCGCGCGGCCCCCUACCGGCCCUGCAGCCCCUGGGCCGGCUGCGCCCCUCGCACGGUCCGGGCGGCGGGGACCGAGGGCCGGGGCCCCGGGGGGAAGACGGCGGCCUGCGCGGAGCAUGAGCGGCCCAGAUCCUGCCCAUCACACCUCCACAUCCAGAAGGAAACUGGCUCAGGGAAGGACCAGCCCCAGCCAGAAGGAGUAAAAAGAAUAAAAGUCACCUCCUGUCUAUUGAGUGCCGACUCUAUGCCAGGAGGAGCGCCAGAGAUGGAUGACUAUAUGGAGACGCUGAAGGAUGAGGAGGACGCCUUGUGGGAGAACGUGGAGUGCAACCGGCACAUGCUGAGUCGCUAUAUCAACCCAGCCAAGCUCACCCCCUACCUGCGCCAGUGCAAGGUCAUUGACGAACAAGAUGAAGAUGAAGUGCUUAACGCUCCCAUGCUGCCGUCCAAGAUCAACCGGGCAGGCCGACUGCUGGACAUUCUACAUACGAAGGGGCAAAGGGGCUACGUGGUCUUCUUGGAGAGUCUGGAAUUUUACUACCCAGAAUUGUACAAACUGGUGACUGGAAAGGAACCCACUCGUAGAUUCUCCACCAUUGUGGUGGAGGAGGGCCACGAGGGCCUCACGCACUUCCUGAUGAACGAGGUCAUCAAGCUGCAGCAGCAGAUGAAGGCCAAAGACCUGCAGCGGUGUGAGCUGCUGGCCAAGUCGCGACAGCUGGAGGACGAGAAGAAGCAGCUGACGCUGACACAGGUGGAGCUGCUGACCUUCCAGGACCGGUACUACAAGAUGAAGGAGGAGCGGGACAGCUACAACGACGAGCUGGUCAAGGUGAAGGACGACAACUACAGCUUGGCCAUGCGCUACGCCCAGCUCAGCGAAGAGAAGAACAUGGCGGUCAUGCGGAGCCGAGACCUGCAACUCGAGAUCGACCAGCUCAAGCAUCGAUUGAAUAAGAUGGAGGAGGAAUGCAAGCUGGAGAGGAACCAGUCGCUGAAACUAAAGAACGACAUCGAGAACCGGCCCAAGAGGGAGCAAGUUCUGGAGCUGGAGCGGGAGAAUGAGAUGCUGAAGACCAAGAUUCAGGAGCUGCAGUCCAUCAUCCAGGCCGGGAAGCGCAGCCUGCCAGACUCGGACAAGGCCAUCCUGGACAUCCUAGAGCAUGACCGCAAGGAGGCCCUGGAGGACCGACAGGAGCUCGUCAACAAGAUCUACAACCUGCAGGAGGAGGUCCGCCAGGCGGAGGAGCUGAGGGACAAGUACCUGGAGGAGAGGGAGGACCUGGAGCUGAAGUGCUCGACGCUGGGGAAGGACUGCGAGAUGUACAAGCACCGCAUGAACACCGUCAUGCUGCAGCUGGAGGAGGUGGAGCGGGAGCGGGACCAGGCCUUCCAUUCCCGGGACGAGGCGCAGACCCAGUACUCCCAGUGCUUAAUCGAAAAGGACAAGUACAGGAAACAGAUCCGCGAGCUGGAGGAGAGGAACGACGAGAUGAGGAUCGAGAUGGUCCGGCGGGAAGCCUGCAUCGUGAACCUGGAGAGCAAGCUCCGGCGCCUCUCCAAGGACAGUGGCAGCCUCGAGCAGAGUUUGCCCAGGAACCUACCAGUGACCAUCAUCUCUCAGAACUUCGGGGACACCAGCCCCAGGACCAACGGUCAGGAGGCUGACGAUUCUUCAACCUCAGAGGAUUCGCCGGAGGACAGCCGCUACUUCCUGCCCUACCACCCGCCCAAGCGCAGGAUGAACCUGAAGGGCAUCCAGCUGCAGAGAGCCAAAUCCCCCAUCAGCCUGAAGCGAACAUCAGAUUUUCAAGGGAGGGGACACGAAGAAGAUGUCAUGGACGCCAGCCCCAGCUCCUCCAGGUCGCUACCCGUCACCACCUCCUUCUCCAAGAUGCAGCCCCAUCGAAGCCGUUCCAGCAUCAUGUCAAUCAUGGCCGAGCCCCCGGGAAACGACUCCAUCGUCAGACGCUACAAGGAAGAUGCACCUCAUCGGAGCACAGUUGAAGAAGACAAUGACAGCGGUGGCUUCGAUGCCUUAGACCUUGACGAUGACAGUCACGAGCGGUACUCCUUUGGACCCCCCUCCAUCCACUCCUCCUCCUCCUCCCACCAGUCUGAGGGCCUGGACGCCUAUGACCUGGAGCAGGUCAACCUCAUGUUUAGGAAGUUCUCUCUAGAAAGACCCUUCCGGCCGUCUGUCACGUCCGUGGGGCACGUGCGGGGCCCCGGGCCCUCGGUGCAGCACACCACGCUGAGCGGCGACAGCCUCACGUCCCAGCUCACGCUGCUCGGGGGCAACGCGAGCGGGAGCUUCGUCCACUCGGUCAAGCCGGGCUCCCUGGCCGAGAAGGCCGGCCUCCGCGAGGGCCUCCAGCUGCUGCUGCUAGAAGGCUGCAUCAAAGGCGAGAAGCAGAGCGUUCCCUUGGAGACGUGCACGAAGGAGGAGGCGCACUGGACCAUCCAGAGGUGCAGUGGUCCCGUCACGCUGCACUACAAGGUCAACCAGGAAGGGUACCGGAAGCUGCUGAAGGACAUGGAGGAGGGCCUGAUCACGUCGGGGGACUCCUUCUACAUCCGGCUCAACCUGAACAUCUCCAGCCAGCUGGACGCCUGCUCCAUGUCCCUGAAGUGCGAUGACGUCGUGCACGUCCGCGACACCAUGUACCAGGACAAGCACGAGUGGCUGUGUGCGCGGGUCGACCCCUUCACGGACCACGACCUGGACAUGGGCACCAUCCCCAGCUACAGCCGAGCCCAGCAGCUCCUCCUGGUCAAGCUGCAGCGCCUGAUGCACCGGGGCAGCCGGGAGGAGGUGGACACGGCCCACCACACCCUGAGGGCCCUCCGGAACACCCUGCAGCCCGAAGAACCACUUCCCACUGCGGACCCCCGGGUCAGCCCCCGCCUCUCACGAGCGAGUUUCCUUUUCGGCCAGCUCCUUCAGUUCGUCAGCAGGUCCGAGAACAAGUACAAGCGGAUGAACAGCCACGAGCGCGUGCGCAUCGUCUCAGGGAGCCCGCGGGGGAGCCUGGCCCGGUCCUCGCUGGACGCCACGAAGCUCCUGACCGAGAAGCAGGAAGAGCUGGACCCCGAGAGCGAGCUCGGCAGGAACCUCAGCCUGAUCCCCUACAGCCUGGUGCGCGCCUUCCACUGCGAGCGCCGCCGGCCCGUCCUCUUCACGCCCACCAUGCUGGCCAAGGCGCUGGUCCAGAAGCUGCUCAACUCAGGGGGCGCGAUGGAGUUCACCAUGUGCAAGCCAGAUGUUGUCACGAGAGACGAGUUCCUCAGAAAGCAGAAGACAGAGACCAUCAUCUACUCCCGAGAGAAGAACCCCAACUCCUUUGAAUGUGUCGUUCCCGCCCACAUCGAGGCUGUGGCGGCCAAGAACAAGCACUGCCUACUGGAGGCCGGGAUCAGCUGCACCAGGGACCUGAUCAAGUCUCGCAUCUACCCCAUCGUGCUCUUCGUCCGGGUGUCGGAGAAGAACAUCAAGAAGUUCAGGAAGAUGCUGGCCCGGCCCGAGACGGAGGAGGAGUUCCUGCGCCUGUGCCGGCUGAAGGAGAAGGAGCUGGAGGCCCUGCCGUGCCUGUACGCCAGCGUGGAGGCGGACAUGUGGGGCAGCGUGGAGGACCUGCUCCGCGUCAUUAAGGACAAGAUCGGGGACGAACAGCGCAAGACCGUCUGGGUGGACGAGGACCAGCUGUGAGGCGGGGGCACCGCUGAGUCCCAGCGGGACUCGGGAGGGGGUCCGGAUCCCGCGGGGCCGCGCCGAGGGGCGAGGGGCGUCCUGCUGCCUAGAUGGCCUGGGGGCUCCGUCCUCCCGUUGAGGGAUGCCCUCCAGGGAGCCCCCCGGGGGCAGAUGCUGGUCGGGAGGGAGCAGGGAGCCGUCCACUCCACCCAGGGCUGACCUGCUGAGACAGCCAGCCCUGCGGGCGUGAGUCGGGAGACAGGACCCCACGAAGGACACAGAGCCAGGUCGGAGGCCAGCGGCCCCUGGAAGCCGGAACAGCAGUUGAAUGUCACGCGUGGAAUAGGUAACAUCCUACGUGAUGCAGCCUCGCUCCGUCUUUCAGUUCGGGAAGCAGCAUGUGGGCAAAGGCCCUCCGGUGGGCUUACUGCCCACGGCCCAAGAGCCACACUCCCUCCACAGCAGACAGCAAAGGCCUUAUGGGCUCUAGAACCAUUCUUCUCCUCGACCCUCUCAAUGCAAACUUCCUGAGUACAGCCCCAACAGGCACAACCAAACCAGGCCAGCUCCAGCCUGGCACCAUGGCGAGUAUUCAUUCAGCAGCUGGUAGGUAGCAGGCUGGGGUUCAGAUCUAGGUCUGUGUGUUCAUGGGAAUUGUGGGAGCAACUGCUCGUUGACAAUCCAUGUCUACGCUGCCUUUCUCACCAACUGAAUCCUGACUGUAUCCUGGGAAACCACGUGCACAGCUAAAAGACCAUAGUCCCCAGCCUCCCUGGCAGCUGGAGUAAUCAAGGAAAUGUAAGGCAAGGUUUAGGGUAGAGACAAAGCAGACAAACAGCCCUUCCUCCCGUUUCCUGCCUAAAAUACAGAUGUGAUGGCUGGAUCUCCUGCAGUCAUUUUGGAUCUUGAGGUGCCCUUGAAGAGGGAAACCUUGCACGGAGGAUGGUGGAACAGAAAGCCAGAGUCACUGAUGACACUUUGGAGCCCAGGACUGCUGCUUGGGUUUCUUUUACAUGAGACUGAA